AUCUAAAAAGUUUAUUUAAAAAAUUGAUUUGUGGUGUCAACGAUAUGAGUUAGUCAUCUUAGAUC
This is a non-coding RNA of Zeugodacus cucurbitae (melon fly), 65 nucleotides long. The record is from the annotation of a RefSeq genome assembly. NCBI's taxonomy places the organism in Eukaryota, Metazoa, Arthropoda, Insecta, Diptera, Tephritidae.